AGUGAUCCUACGGGAGGCAGCAGUGGGGAAUCUUGCGCAAUGGGCGAAAGUCUGACGCAGCCAUGCCGCGUGAAUGAUGAAGGUCUNAGGAUUGUAAAAUUCUUUCACCGGGGACGAUAAUGACGGUACNCGGAGAAGAAGCCCCGGCUAACUNCGUG
Molecule: ribosomal RNA, 158 nt
Filed under: uncultured bacterium
Lineage: Bacteria
Description: partial 16S ribosomal RNA
Rfam family: Bacterial small subunit ribosomal RNA
Source: RNAcentral